UCUGCGGGAAUAAAACAGAAAUUGUAUUGGUUUAAUUUUUCAUAUCAAAUUUAUCAUUAUUUUAAUUAUCUGCAAAAGUGUCAUUGCUUUGGUUGGGGACAUUAUUAAAAAUUCGUCUGAAAUUAGUUAUCAUUCGUCGUGUUAAAGAGAUAAGUUUUUUUUUUUACGUUGAGUUGCUUUAAUUGCAAUUCAACUGAGUCGAGUUGUAAGCCGUAUGCGUGGUAUACAUUGCUAAUGCUUUCUCCAUAUUACACAUACAACACAUACACAUACAUCCAUAGAUCGAGUGCUUAGACUUCAGCUGUCACCAAUUACAAGCUUAUUAUUGAUUCAAAUUUUGUUAAAGCAAAUUUGUUAAUAAACUUUUGACGUUGACUGUGUUUAUCUCGUCAUGUAUUCGAAUCAAUGAUGCAUACAUGCAAACUAUUUAUUAAUGACGACUUCGUUUUAGCGCACUAAGUGCACAUAACAUAUGCAUAUUAUAUGUAUGUAUGUAUAUGCAUAAAUUUAUAUUUAUAUGCAUUCGAUUAACAAAGCUACUUGAGGAACUGGUGUUUAUUUUGUGUUGAUAUCGAACUCGUAAUGCAUUGACAUUGCGAAUUCAAUGUCAAAACAAAAAUAGCUUACUCAUAGAAACCAAAGAAAGUUCCCACAUUAUGCACACGGAAGUGAUCAUGAAUUAAGGUACACUGUCAGAGAUUUUGUAAAUACGAAAUUUUAGUCGCGUUCACGAUGUGAUGUAUUUGACAUCAUAUUUUGUAUACAAGAGAUUUUCCAUAUUUUUUUGUAAAACUACGAAACUUAAUUAUUUGAGAUAAAAUAAACUAGGGAUACGCAAAACAUAUUGUACUGUUGCGUAAUAUUUGUUUUACACCAUCACCGCACAUUUCUAAUCUAUCUUUCUCAUUAUUGAAAAUUAAAAAUUGUCACUAUAAUCGCUCACAAUUUAGAGCGUUUGUAAGAAAAAUUUAUCACAAUACAAUGUACAUACAUAUGUAUACUAGGUGGGAGAAGAUAUGGACAGAUUUCAUCAAUUCUUAUCACCAAAACAUAUUAUGUCCAAAGCAACUUGUACAGUUAUUCGACAAAUAACAAAGCGCGCUCGGGCACUUCAUAGCGCUCGGGAACAGAUGAAUCUCCAAG
Bactrocera oleae (olive fruit fly) is the source of this 1143-nucleotide long non-coding RNA. RefSeq lists it as uncharacterized. Lineage: Eukaryota; Metazoa; Arthropoda; Insecta; Diptera; Tephritidae. The record is from RefSeq and is a predicted model, not a curated record.